RNAcentral lists this ribosomal RNA (563 nucleotides) under uncultured bacterium. RNAcentral's name for it is "partial 16S ribosomal RNA". It matches the Rfam family "Bacterial small subunit ribosomal RNA", at positions 355 to 1375 of the family's 1533-position model. The record is from RNAcentral.
UAGGGAAUCUUGGACAAUGGGCGAAAGCCUGAUCCAGCCAUGCCGCGUGAGUGAUGAAGGCCUUAGGGUUGUAAAGCUCUUUCGCCAGGGAAGAUAAUGACGGUACCUGGAUAAGAAGCCCCGGCAAACUUCGUGCCAGCAGCCGCGGUAAUACGAAGGGGGCUAGCGUUGUUCGGAAUUACUGGGCGUAAAGCGCACGUAGGCGGCUUUCCAAGUUGGAGGUGAAAUCCCCGGGCUUAACUCGGGAACUGCCUCCAAAAACUGGACGGCUCGAGUCCGAGAGAGGUGAGUGGAAUUUCCAGUGUAGAGGUGAAAUUCGUAGAUAUUGGAAAGAACACCAGUGGCGAAGGCGGCUCACUGGCUCGGUACUGACGCUGAGGUGCGACAGCGUGGGGGAGCAAACAGGAUUAGAUACCCUGGUAGUCCACGCCGUAAACGAUGGGUGCUAGUUGUCAGGCAGCUUGCUGUUUGGUGACGCAGCUAACGCAUUAAGCACCCCGCCUGGGGGAGUACGGUCGCAAGAUUAAAACUCAAAGGAAUUGACGGGGUCAUAGCUGUUUCCU